Molecule: ribosomal RNA, 566 nt
Filed under: uncultured bacterium
Lineage: Bacteria
Description: partial 16S ribosomal RNA
Rfam family: Bacterial small subunit ribosomal RNA
Source: RNAcentral
UGGGGAAUUUUGGACAAUGGGCGCAAGCCUGAUCCAGCCAUGCCGCGUGCGGGAAGAAGGCCUUCGGGUUGUAAACCGCUUUUGUCAGGGAAGAAAUCUUCUGAGUUAAUACCUCGGGAGGAUGACGGUACCUGAAGAAUAAGCACCGGCUAACUACGUGCCAGCAGCCGCGGUAAUACGUAGGGUGCAAGCGUUAAUCGGAAUUACUGGGCGUAAAGCGUGCGCAGGCGGUUUUGUAAGACAGAGGUGAAAUCCCCGGGCUCAACCUGGGAACUGCCUUUGUGACUGCAAGGCUUGAGUGCGGCAGAGGGGGAUGGAAUUCCGCGUGUAGCAGUGAAAUGCGUAGAUAUGCGGAGGAACACCGAUGGCGAAGGCAAUCCCCUGGGCCUGCACUGACGCUCAUGCACGAAAGCGUGGGGAGCAAACAGGAUUAGAUACCCUGGUAGUCCACGCCCUAAAACGAUGUCAACUGGUUGUUGGGAAGGUUCCUUCUCAGUAACGUAGCUAACGCGUGAAGUUGACCGCCUGGGGAGUACGGCCGCAAGGUUGAAACUUAAAUGAAUUGA